This 5870-nucleotide long non-coding RNA is filed under the name Sus scrofa (pig). Its description in RNAcentral is "lncRNA (ENSSSCG00015062834.1)". Lineage: Eukaryota; Metazoa; Chordata; Mammalia; Artiodactyla; Suidae. The record is from RNAcentral.
UUUUUCUUAUCAGAAAUCUUACAUCCAUAGAAAGUCAACACAACAUCACCUUCAACAGCUAUCAACAUUCUACCAUUCUUGUUUCAUCUACAUUUUCACCCAUUUAUCACCUUCACAAUUGAACUUUAUAAUCUUAAUUCUGUACCAACAGGAUGAAUGUUGACUGAUUAUCAGUCAUUUACACAGCAGUGGGAAUAAACAUUCCUGGUGAUGUUAAAUUAUCUCUGCCACACUCAGUGAAGGGACUAGAGAUUGAGAGAUAGUAAUGUUCAGACUGCCUUGUUACACAGGCAGCACAGUAUUUUCACAAAUGAAGCAGGGCUGUCUCAGCAAAAAUAAUAUUAUGAAGAGAUUACAAUAAAGGCCAAUACGAAAGCACAUGUCAUGUUUACUUAUACAUAAUGAUUAUUUAUUUUUAAUUUACAUAGUUGGAUUAGACCUAUAGUGCUGCAGAUCAAUACAAUAACCACAACAUCUGCAAAGGCCAAUUUUCUUAAUAGAAGGGCAUAUUUUGCUGAUAGGCAAACCAAUUUUGUUGGCAGCAGCAAUACCCAAUGUUUAUUUUUAAUGCAUCUUCAUUUUUAUAUCUUCAUUUAUAAUUGGCUAUUUUCAUCUUAAAUAAUUUUAGUAUUGAAUAUUUGAGGACUCGAUUUGACAUAAUGCUUUUAUAAACAUAAAGUGUAUAUUUAAUAAUAAGUAUUUGCCUAACAAGUAUAGUCUAUUGCCCUGGAAGAUCUGUUCUUAAAGAUCUGAUACCUAUCAUUUGUAUUUUGGCUGUAGAAAUGUACAAUGAGUAUAAUUUCAUGAUCUAUUGUCUUGUAGUUGUUUGUAUCAUGCAGAAAAUCAGAAUUCUAGAUAUAAUCACCUUUCCUUAAAAAAGAUUAAUCAUCCCAUUGAAAUAUCCAUAGCUACAUCACAUCACACACACACACACACACACACACACACACACACACACACACACACACCCAAGCACUUACUAAACCUCUCUUAUGAUACAUUUAAACUUAACAAACUUAGAAGCAUUUUGAUAUAGUCAUUAAUUUUUAUUCAUGAGGAAACUAAGACUAAGAAAAGCAUACGACUUAUUCAUGAUCACACACUUAUUAAAUGUUGGAAUUAGGAUACCAACACAAGUCUUUCUAAAGUCAGACCUCUUGUUGCACUGCCUCCCUUUAUUUGUUUUAUCCUUCCUUCUUGGACAGUUAAUUAUCGUACACGUUAACUUCUGACAUAUACCCUCUACUUCUGCCCUACCAUCCAUUUCCAUUUUAAUGUUCUACUUCAGGUCAACAUCAUCUUUACCUGAACUAUAUGCAGAGCAUUCUAAAUGAUCCCCCUGGUCCCUAUUUCUUUCCCUCCAGAUUAUUCUAAAUAUCUCCAAUUCCUAAAGCACAGCUCUGAAGAUGCCAUCCUCCUCUUCAAAAAAUGGCUGUUUACUCGUUGCCUUUUUAAUCACCAGAGUCAGGGGUGAAUGUUAGAAUUAAAGAGCCCACCAAACCUCUUAGUUAAGAAAUGAAUAUUUUAAUUAACACAUCCAUAAAACAUCGCUAUACUAUGACACUAACCCUUUGAAAAUAAGUUCUACAAUUUUAUUUUUCACUUGCCAGACAAACUAUCUACACUUUUGGUCAUUUAGUUCCUCCCCCUCCUGAACCUCCACUCAGCAAAACUCAAAAGAGACUUACAGACAUCUGGUAUUACCCACCCAGCUAAAUGAAUCAUUCUUUCACAUGUUCUUUUCUCUUUCUCCAUUCUUAGUUUAGAAACGUCCUGGGAGAAAGGAUACCAUUGCAUUUCAGAUAUUUAAUGUUCCUAUCUUCAAAGACAGGCAAUGAGGAGUACGGCUCUUGGCCAAAAAUGUACAUGGGACCUUUCAAGCUUGCAUUGCCUAGGUGAUUACUAAGACAUUACUUGGCAGCAUCAUUAGAGAGAGCUCCCUUCUCCACACCAGACUUGGUGCAUAGCCAAUGCACUGUUUUAUUUAGGGGAGUUGUAGUCAAGGACUUAGGCAUCUCUGGCUGGUAAUGCUCUUUUGCAUAGUUGCAUUUCUAGCCUAGGUGACUUCUAUAAAUACAGAACUCUAUGUUACAGCAUUUUUUGAGCCUUACCCCUCACCAUAAAACCAAAAUCUUCUCUUUUCUUUCUGUAGCAUUUAUACACUCUGAUAUUUUAGUACUACCCUCACAAACACUAAUGCAAUAUAGGUUAUGUCAUCACCUCCUAGAAUUGUAUGCACACACACACACACAUUACAUAGAGCAAAAAUCAUAAUUUAAGUGUCUGAAACUGAUGGGCUAGGGGAUAUUUCAUCAGAUCAUGCUACGCCUUAAAAACCAUGGCAUUUAUUUUGUUCUAGAAAAAAAAUUAAACUUAUCAAAUAAUUUUUCAAGGUGAUUCUGUAACAAAAUCAUUAGUAGCCACAAUUUUAUUACCAUAGUUUUUCUACAGAUUUAAAUCUCUGAAUAUAUCACCUAUAAUGGGCAGUAUAUCAAUUUACUAAAGGAAAGAACCAGUGCUCAGUGACACAUGUAAUUAAUAAGACUACACCAUGACACUGAACCUAGAGAUUCCUAAAAGAUAGUAUUUAUUAAGGCAACCCACCAAUCCACUGAGCCAUUUCUACCAGUGACACGGGUGGUAUGUCAAAAUUUAAACCCCCUUAUCCUUACUGGCAAUAAAAUAGAAGCGAGAAUUAUUAGAUGAGUGCCCUCUUUGCCUUCCUUGCAGCUGUUAAUGCUCCGCUUUGUUGCCUGUUAAAAGCCAGAAGCAUGUUUGCAAAUGAUCAGUUUAAGAGAUCUAAUGACCAUUGUGUCAGUCUCCUCAGAUUUAUUCCCAUUCAGCAUGAGAAUAAAUGAUAGCCUGAAGAUUGACAUGGGAAGACAAACUGUAUAUGUGUAAAGAACAGAAACAGAAUGGAAAAAAAGCUCUGUGUUGAAGGUGAGAUGAACAAUACCAUGUCCAUUCUCCUUACAGCACAUAUCUUACCUGACAAGUUCAGCCCCCAUGAAAAUCUGACAUCUAGAAUGUCUUGUCCUACAUUUACUCCCAAGCUUGUAACCAUCCUGUAUCUAGGAAAAACAUUCACCCAUUAUUCUUUAUGAGCACUUGAUACUCCUUACAUAAGAUAUUUUACCUGCUUCAUUCUCAAGCACUGUUUUCUUUCAACACUAAGCACUUCAAGGAAGUUGUCUGCAUUUGAAAAAAGCAAUGUGUGAUUCUUGACAGAUCAUCCAACUAUUCCUUUGCUCUCUCCUUAAAGGAGGGAUAUUCCUACAGUAUAUUUAUGAAAAGCAGGGAUAGAGGAGGAAAGAACCAGAUUAAUUCAAUGUUAAACAUCUAGAUACACAUAGCACCACUCAUUAUGCUUUCAUUACUUGGAAAUCACUUGCUAUGUUCAUUAAGUUAUUUUUUGGAACACUUUCUGCUUGCUAGAUGUUAUUUUUUUUUCACCACUAUAGAGUAGUGAAUAAACGAGACAUAUUUCUGCUCUUAUGGACCUUGUGGUAGAGAAUCAGAUCAUUUUAAAAGUAACUAAUUUGUUAUUUAUAACUUGAGCAAGUUAUCUGAAGAAGUCAAAACAUCAACAAGAUUAUAUAAUAAAUUCCCAUUCUAGAAUUUGGAGUCAAAGGGUCUUCUGGGAGAAAGUGAAAUUUAAGUAGUACAUGAGAUGUACAUUAGCUGGAGAAGAAUGAUCCAGGCAGAGAAAACAACAUGAAUUAAGACCUACAGUGGGAAGAAGCUUGAAAGAAUUGAGAAACAAGUAAUAUUACUGUGAACAGAUCAUAGAAAAGGAAGUCAGGGCAGAUGGGGGGACUGUGAAGAAAUGUUAAAGAUUUUUACUUUUAGAAGAAAAGCCACUAUGGACUACUGAGAGUCAUUAAAUAAAUAAUCUGCAUAAACAAAACAAAAAGGCAACCCACAGAAUGAGAGAAAAUAUUUGCAAACUUAGCAGCUGACAAGGGAUUAAUCUCCAAAAUACACAAACAACUCAUGCAGCUCAAUAUCAAAACAAACAACCAACCCAGUCAAAAAAUGGGCAUAUCUAAAUAGGCAUUUCUCCAAAGAAGACAUACAGAUGGCCAACUGGCACAUGAAAAGAUGUUCAACAUCACUUAUUAGAGAAAUGGAAAUCAAAACUACAAUGAGGUAUCAUCUCAUACCAUUCAUUGUGGCCAUCAUCAAAAAAUUUACAAACAAUAAAUGCUGGAGAGGGUGUGGAAAAAAGAGAACCCUCCUUCACUGAUGAUACAAUAUUACUCAGCCAUAAAAAACAAUGAAAUAAUGUCAUUUGCAGCAACUUUGGAUUUAGAGAUCAUCAUACCACAUGAAGUAUGUCAGACAGAAAAAGACAAGUAUAUGAGAUCCCUUAUAUGUGGAAUAUAACAAAAAUGAUACAAAUGAAUUUAUCUACAAAACAGAAACAGACUCAACAGACCUUGAAAACAAACUUAUGGUUACCACAGGGGAAAGGUGAGGGGAAGGGAUAGAUUGGGAGUUUGGGACUGGAAUAUGCACACUAUUGUAUAUGGAAUGGAUAAUCAACAGGGACCUACUGUAUAGCACAGAGAACAUUAUCCAAUAUUCUAUGAUAAGCAAUGUAGGAAAAGAAUCUGAAAAAGAAUGUAUAUGUUAAUAUGUAUAACUGAAUCACUUUACAGCAGACAUUAAAACAACACUGUAAAUCCACUAUACUUCAGUAAUUGAAAAAAAAAAGAAAGUAAAAAGGAUAUACACUCUGGCAAGUGGAAACAUGGUAUGAGGCUAUCAAAAUCAAUUUAGAAGGGAUGACAGCGGCUUAGUAUGAGGUUAUAGUUAGUGGUGGCAACAGAUAGAAAUGAACACAUUCAUAACAUAUUUAGAACUAAAUUUUAUGAGAUAUGAUCACUCAUUAGAUAUGGGGAUGAAAAAGAAGAUAUCAAAGGCAACUUCAAGAUUUCUUAGCUUGAGUGACCACUGCCAUUAAAAACCCCUUGUUUUUAUCUUUGUGGAAAAAAAAUAUGAGAUUGUCAAAUAAGAUUCACAAGAAGCAAAGGUCUUGCUCGCUAUCAAGUGUUACUGUAAUUAAAGGAUAAAGUCACCAUUUACAGGAGGAAGGAGAUUUCCUAACAAUAUACAGCUCCUCCCUUUGCAUGAGGAUGUUCACUAACCCGCUGAAUGUAAGCACCCUCUAAUAAAGGUAUGUUUUUAAGAAAGUAAGCAAUGUCUGAUAAAUUCAUAUAUUCCAGAUUUAUAUACCACAAGCAACCCUAGACAGAUCAGGUAAAUCAUGUUGAAGGACAAUCAGCAGUAAAUACCAUUCGUAUUUCAUCAGAUCUAUUACUCCCAUGUUUGCAAGAUUUGACCAGGUUACAUUUCUUUCCUGGGCCUCCCACAGAAAUAAGACUGAAUGGAUUACAUUCCUUUUGUUAUCCCUUUCUGUCUCACUGUGCAUGGAAAUUCAAAGUAUCUAUUUUACUUCAUUGGGGAUAUAUACUGGAAAAUAAAAAGGGUUUCUUUAAAAUUUCUAGGGUAUCUUGUAAUUAUUAAGAAUUAGAAAUAAUCUUAAUUCUUGCAAUAACCCUAAAAAGUAGGUAGUAUUUUGUGUGUGUGUGUGUGUCUGUGUGUGUGUGUGUGUCUGUGUGUGUUGUGUGUGUAUUUGGCUUUUUAGGGCCAAAUGUGUGGCAUAUGGAAAUUUCUAGGCUAGGGGUCAAAUCAGAGCUGCAGCUGCUGGUCUACAUCACAGCUACAGCAAUGUGGCAUCCCAGCCACAGCUGCGACAUACGCCACAGCUUGGGGCAAGAUCCUUAACCCACUGAGCGAGGACAGGGAUCAAACCCGCGUCUUCACAGAUACUAGUGAAGUUCGUUACUGCAGAGCAUCAACAAGAA